Molecule: transfer RNA, 76 nt
Filed under: Frankia sp. CgMI4
Lineage: Bacteria; Bacillati; Actinomycetota; Actinomycetes; Frankiales; Frankiaceae
Description: Frankia sp. CgIM4 tRNA-Pro
Rfam family: tRNA
About the family: Transfer RNA (tRNA) molecules are approximately 80 nucleotides in length. Their secondary structure includes four short double-helical elements and three loops (D, anti-codon, and T loops). Further hydrogen bonds mediate the characteristic L-shaped molecular structure. tRNAs have two regions of fundamental functional importance: the anti-codon, which is responsible for specific mRNA codon recognition, and the 3' end, to which the tRNAs corresponding amino acid is attached (by aminoacyl-tRNA synthetases). tRNAs cope with the degeneracy of the genetic code in two manners: having more than one tRNA (with a specific anti-codon) for a particular amino acid; and 'wobble' base-pairing, i.e. permitting non-standard base-pairing at the 3rd anti-codon position.
Source: RNAcentral
CGGGGCRUAGCGUAGUGGCUAGYGCGCCUGCUUUGGGUGCAGGAGAUCGGGAGUUCGAGUCUCCCCGCCCCGACCG